GGUACCUAAAAUUUUAAUCUAAUUAGAAAAAGAUUUAACCUAAGUCCUGAUCAAAUCAGGCCUAAUUCUCCCUUAGCAAUUAGGUCAUCCCAUAACCUAAUUGGGUUCGAUCAAAUUAAAUCCAAUUCAAUUAUACCUAAUCCAGACUUCAAUACUCAAUUAAAUUAAGCUAAUGAGCAAUUUAAUUAUUGAUUAAUCCUCUUAAAUUUUACUAACACUUAGCGAAUAAUGUUAUUGCAACUAUUGAACACAAUUAAUCAUCAAUCAUAUUGAUGAUUUUACCCUCAGACAAUUCUUAAUCGUCAAUUUGCCAAU
RNAcentral lists this long non-coding RNA (315 nucleotides) under Elaeis guineensis (African oil palm). Its description in RNAcentral is "long non-coding RNA (EGUI_LNC067914)". Lineage: Eukaryota; Viridiplantae; Streptophyta; Magnoliopsida; Arecales; Arecaceae. The record is from RNAcentral.